Molecule: ribosomal RNA, 810 nt
Filed under: Campylobacter jejuni
Lineage: Bacteria; Pseudomonadati; Campylobacterota; Epsilonproteobacteria; Campylobacterales; Campylobacteraceae
Description: bacterial SSU rRNA
Rfam family: Bacterial small subunit ribosomal RNA
Source: RNAcentral
GGCGAUCUGCUGGAACUCAACUGACGCUAAGGCGCGAAAGCGUGGGGAGCAAACAGGAUUAGAUACCCUGGUAGUCCACGCCCUAAACGAUGUACACUAGUUGUUGGGGUGCUAGUCAUCUCAGUAAUGCAGCUAACGCAUUAAGUGUACCGCCUGGGGAGUACGGUCGCAAGAUUAAAACUCAAAGGAAUAGACGGGGACCCGCACAAGCGGUGGAGCAUGUGGUUUAAUUCGAAGAUACGCGAAGAACCUUACCUGGGCUUGAUAUCCUAAGAACCUUUUAGAGAUAAGAGGGUGCUAGCUUGCUAGAACUUAGAGACAGGUGCUGCACGGCUGUCGUCAGCUCGUGUCGUGAGAUGUUGGGUUAAGUCCCGCAACGAGCGCAACCCACGUAUUUAGUUGCUAACGGUUCGGCCGAGCACUCUAAAUAGACUGCCUUCGUAAGGAGGAGGAAGGUGUGGACGACGUCAAGUCAUCAUGGCCCUUAUGCCCAGGGCGACACACGUGCUACAAUGGCAUAUACAAUGAGACGCAAUACCGCGAGGUGGAGCAAAUCUAUAAAAUAUGUCCCAGUUCGGAUUGUUCUCUGCAACUCGAGAGCAUGAAGCCGGAAUCGCUAGUAAUCGUAGAUCAGCCAUGCUACGGUGAAUACGUUCCCGGGUCUUGUACUCACCGCCCGUCACACCAUGGGAGUUGAUUUCACUCGAAGCCGGAAUACUAAACUAGUUACCGUCCACAGUGGAAUCAGCGACUGGGGUGAAGUCGUAACAAGGUAACCGUAGGAGAACCUGCGGUUGGAUCACCUCCUUU